Molecule: ribosomal RNA, 250 nt
Filed under: uncultured prokaryote
Description: partial 16S ribosomal RNA
Rfam family: Bacterial small subunit ribosomal RNA
Source: RNAcentral
UACGGGGGAUGCGAGCGUUGUCCGGAAUCAUUGGGCGUAAAGAGUUCGUAGGUGGUUUGUUAAGUUAGGUGUUAAAGGCUGAGGCUCAGCUUCAGUAUGGCACUUGAUACUGGCAGACUUGAAUGCGGUAGAGGUAAAGGGAAUUCCUGGUGUAGCGGUGAAAUGCGUAGAUGUCAGGAGGAACAUCGGUGGCGUAAGCGCUUUACUGGGCCGUAAUUGACUCUGAGGAACGAAAGCCGGGGUCGCAAAU